Molecule: ribosomal RNA, 404 nt
Filed under: uncultured bacterium
Lineage: Bacteria
Description: partial 16S ribosomal RNA
Rfam family: Bacterial small subunit ribosomal RNA
Source: RNAcentral
GACGAACGCUGGCGGCGUGCCUAACACAUGCAAGUCGAGCGGAGCGGCGAACGGGUGAGUAACGCGUGAGUAACUGCCCCCCUCUCUGGGAUAACAGUUGGCAACGGCUGCCAAUACCGGAUAGUGUGGGAUGACUCGCGCCCUAUCAGCUUGUUGGUGGGGUAGUGGCCUACCAAGGCGACGACGGGUACCCGGCCUGAGAGGGCGACCGGCCACAUUGGGCGGAGAGACGGCCCAAAAUCCAACGGGGGGCAAUGGUGGGGAAUAUUGCACAGUGGUGGAAACCCUGAUGAAGAGGCGCGCGUGCGGGAUGAAGGCCUUGGGGUUGUAAACCGCUUACAGCCAUGACGCGGUAGUGGCAGAAGAAGCACCGGCUAACUACGUGCCAGCAGCCGCGGUAAUUC